GUCUCCGUAGCUUAGUCGGUAGAACUACGCACCCGACUACGGUGCGGUAGAACUCGGGUUCGAGCCCCGCUGAAGGCA
Non-coding RNA from Henosepilachna vigintioctopunctata, 78 nucleotides. NCBI's taxonomy places the organism in Eukaryota, Metazoa, Arthropoda, Insecta, Coleoptera, Coccinellidae. The record is from the annotation of a GenBank genome assembly.